This 253-nucleotide ribosomal RNA is filed under the name uncultured bacterium. RNAcentral's name for it is "partial 16S ribosomal RNA". It matches the Rfam family "Bacterial small subunit ribosomal RNA", at positions 524 to 776 of the family's 1533-position model. The record is from RNAcentral.
AACGUAGGACGCGAGCGUUAUCCGGAGUUACUGGGCGUAAAGCGCGUGCAGGCGGUCUGACAAGUCUGAUGUGAAAUCUCCGGGCUUAACCGGGAGAGGCCAUUGGAAACUGACAGGCUGGAGGGCAGUAGAGGUAGGCGGAAUUCCGGGUGGAGUGGUGAAAUGCGUAGAGAUCCGGAGGAACACCGGUGGCGAAGGCGGCUUCCUGGACCGACACUGACGCUGAGGCGCGAAAGCUAGGGGAGCAAACGGG